GACGAACGCUGGCGGCGUGCUUAACACAUGCAAGUCGAACGAAGAGCGAUGGAAGCUUGCUUCUAUCAAUCUUAGUGGCGAACGGGUGAGUAACGCGUAAUCAACCUGCCCUUCAGAGGGGGACAACAGUUGGAAACGACUGCUAAUACCGCAUACGAUCUAAUCUCGGCAUCGAGGAUAGAUGAAAGGUGGCCUCUACAUGUAAGCUAUCACUGAAGGAGUGUAUUGCGUCUGAUUAGCUAGUUGGAGGGGUAACGGCCCACCAAGGCGAUGAUCAGUAGCCGGUCUGAGAGGAUGAACGGCCACAUUGGGACUGAGACACGGCCCAGACUCCUACGGGAGGCAGCAGUGGGGAAUCUUCCGCAAUGGACGAAAGUCUGACGGAGCAACGCCGCGUGAGCGAUGACGGCCUUCGGGUUGUAAAGCUCUGUUAAUCGGGACGAAAGGCCUUCUUGCGAAUAGUGAGAAGGAUUGACGGUACCGGAAUAGAAAGCCACGGCUAACUACGUG
RNAcentral lists this ribosomal RNA (510 nucleotides) under uncultured bacterium. RNAcentral's name for it is "partial 16S ribosomal RNA". It matches the Rfam family "Bacterial small subunit ribosomal RNA", at positions 28 to 507 of the family's 1533-position model. The record is from RNAcentral.